RNAcentral lists this transfer RNA (35 nucleotides) under Acipenser nudiventris (fringebarbel sturgeon). Its description in RNAcentral is "partial tRNA-Phe". Lineage: Eukaryota; Metazoa; Chordata; Actinopteri; Acipenseriformes; Acipenseridae. The record is from RNAcentral.
GCUAGCGUAGCUUAACUAAAGCAUAACACUGAAGA